AGUGAACGCUGGCGGCAGGCCUAAUACAUGCAAGUCGAACGGCAGCACAGUAAGCUUUCUCCCCUACGGGUGGCGAGUGGCGGGUGGGUGACGAAUACAUCGCCUACCUCUAUUUCUUGGGUGACAUCGUAGGGCCACAUAUGCUAACACAGCAUAUGAUGUACGGCUGAAAUCAAUAGUGAUUCGCAGCUUUCGCGAUACAAUGAGACGGUGCCGCAUUAGCUAGUUGGCGUGGUAAAGGCACACCAAGGCAACGCUGCGUAGCUGAUCUGAGAGGAUGAUCGGCCACACUGGAACUGAGACACGGUCCAGACUCCUACGGGAGGCAGCAGUAGGGAAUCUUGGGCAAUGGGCGAAAGCCUGACCGAGCCAUGCCGCGUGAGUGAAGAAGGUCUUCGGAUCGUAAAACCCUGUUAUUAGGGAAGAAAAACAGCGGAAGAAACCCCGGAUGUUCUGACGGUACCCAAAGAAUAAGCAACGGCUAACUUCGUG
RNAcentral lists this ribosomal RNA (492 nucleotides) under uncultured bacterium. RNAcentral's name for it is "partial 16S ribosomal RNA". It matches the Rfam family "Bacterial small subunit ribosomal RNA", at positions 29 to 507 of the family's 1533-position model. The record is from RNAcentral.